UGGGGCGUGGCCAAGUGGUGAGGGAACGGGUUUUGGUCCCGAUAAUGAGAGGUUCGAAUGCUUUCGUCCUAG
RNAcentral lists this transfer RNA (72 nucleotides) under Daucus carota subsp. sativus. It matches the Rfam family "tRNA". From Rfam's summary of the family: Transfer RNA (tRNA) molecules are approximately 80 nucleotides in length. Their secondary structure includes four short double-helical elements and three loops (D, anti-codon, and T loops). The record is from Rfam by way of RNAcentral. Lineage: Eukaryota; Viridiplantae; Streptophyta; Magnoliopsida; Apiales; Apiaceae.